UUUGCUUGACCAAGAAGGAACCUAUCUUGGACACAAAACAACUCACUUGAUCAUGGAUCAAGUUGAGUUUGGUUUGGAUCAAAGAAGGUUAAACCUCUCAUUUGUCAAGAUUAACCAUAAGACUUUAACUCAUUGACCAUUGAUGGAAAGAAAGGGAUGAAGAUGAAAGGGAGGGGAAAAGAAAGACCACAACCAAACCCAAUUGAUCAAAUGUAAACCAAAUCAUCAUCAAUCAACACCAAACAGAAAAGAAAUGAAGAUAACAAGUCAAUAAGUCAACAAUAUUUUGUUGGUAUUUUUUGAAUUAAAAUAAAAUGCAAAUAAAAAAUAAACAAAUUAGGUCAAACCUCAAAUUCAAUUCAAAUCAGCUUCAACAAG
Molecule: long non-coding RNA, 378 nt
Filed under: Lathyrus oleraceus (garden pea)
Lineage: Eukaryota; Viridiplantae; Streptophyta; Magnoliopsida; Fabales; Fabaceae
Description: Pisum sativum (pea) long non-coding RNA (PSAT_LNC009895)
Source: RNAcentral